Molecule: long non-coding RNA, 1371 nt
Filed under: Bos indicus x Bos taurus (hybrid cattle)
Lineage: Eukaryota; Metazoa; Chordata; Mammalia; Artiodactyla; Bovidae
Description: lncRNA (ENSBIXG00005014011.1)
Source: RNAcentral
AUGGGGGUGCUGUCUGUGCCUCCCAGGCCAGGAGGAGCGAAGCAAGGGCCUGCCAUAAAGCCAGCAGGUGAGCCGGCCCGGUCCUUUCUGAGGCUGGGUCCCAUCCUCUGUGACACAGGAGAUGCUGGGAGGCUGUGCCCAGCAGGAGCGGAGCUCAGGGGUAGGUGGGAUCGGCCGGAGAUCCUGCAGCUAGUCGCCGGGAGGGGCAGCCGGCCUGCCACCUCCGUGCCCGCGCAGCCUCUCCCUCCUCCUCCCUGGCCUGCUGACCCUGGCCCCUUCCUUCCUGGACUUCAUGGGGCCCCUGGAUACGUGGGCGGACCCCUUGGCGGCCGGGCUGCAGUCCUCACAGAGCCCCCAUUGCUGCCUCAGGGGGAAGAAGGGGCUGCAGGGUGCCCAAGGCCACGCUGUCCCCUCUCUCACCUCCUCCUUUUCUACCUCAGAGCCCUUUAGGGACCUCCAGCAGGUCAGAGGGUCCCCCCUCCCACCAAGGUCAAUGUCUGCCCACUGUCCAUUGGCCCAGGGGGAGGAGCUGGGACUGGGUCUCCCUGGGCUAGAUGGUGCUUCUCCAGCCGUCUCCCAGUGUGGAGCGCUGGGUGGCCGGCCUGUGCCCCUGUACUGGGCAGGGUGAUCAAAAUUACUAUAGAUUAGUUGAUUGCAGAUCAACUGUAAAUCAACUGUGUUUAAAUUUUUUAUUUUUUAUUUUUUAAGCCUCCAGCACCCGGUAUUCCCAGGUGGUCUCCCAUCCAAGUACUAACCAGGCUCGACCCUGCUUAGCUUCUGCGAUCACAGGAGAUCUGGCGCCUUCAGGCUGAUAUGGGCGGAGACUAAGUUUUUUAAAAAAAAAGGAUUAGGCUGUGGAUUCAGACCCCUCUGGGCUGGGAGCCCACCUCUGCACCUUGCUAGCUGUGUGACGUUGGGCAGGUUACUCCACCUCUCUGGGCCCCAGCUCCUGGUAUAACGUUGGGAGCAUUAGGGGAGAAAGUGCAAAUGUGCAGGACCAGGGCCAGCCUGCCUGUUUGCACUCCCUCAGGAUGGCGAUUAUUGCUAUUUACAUGCACCCUCUCCUUGAAGCCCUUCUGGCAGCCCCCUAAGCGAGUGUCUGCUCUGUUUCCAGAAAGGAUUGAGGCCACAGGGAUGAAGCAAUGUGUCUAAAGCCCCAGAUGGGGGACUUCCCGGCAGUCCAGUGGUUAGGACUCUGCUCUGUCACUGCCAAGGGCUCGGGUUCCAUCCCUCCUCAGGGGAACUGAGCCCCCCACAAGCUGCUCAGUUCAGCCAAAAACAGGAACCAUAGAUGGAGGUGGUGGGAUGCCCCAGGGCCCAAGUGGUCUCCAUGCCCGAGCCCCCACCAUCGUGCCUUCCGUCUCCAAAGUG